This 732-nucleotide ribosomal RNA is filed under the name uncultured eukaryote. RNAcentral describes it as "bacterial SSU rRNA". It matches the Rfam family "Eukaryotic small subunit ribosomal RNA", at positions 709 to 1402 of the family's 1831-position model. The record is from RNAcentral.
GGUGGGGGAGGGAUUUGUCUUCUUCUCGUCGGAUCGCAGAGUUUUACUUUGAAUAAAUUAGGGUGUUCAAAGCAGACGAAUACGUCUUGAAUAGAUUAGCAUGGGAUAAUGAAAUAAGACCUUCAAGAAGGGAAAGAGGCUUCUGUCUUUUUUCCUUUUCGGCUUAAGUUUGCUGGUUUCUGAGGCCGAGGUAAUGAUUAAUAGGGACGGUCGGGGUCGCUCGUACUCGGUGGUGAGAGGUGAAAUUCUAAGACCCAUCGAAGACGAACAAGUGCGAAGGCAUUCGACAAGGAUGUUUUCUUUAAUCAAGAACGAAAGUUAUGGGAUCGAAGAUGAUCAGAUACCGUCGUAGUCAUAACCGUAAACUAUGUUGACUCGGGAUCGGAGGAUGUUACAUGGAUGACUCUUCCGGCACCGUGUGCGAAAGCACAAGUAUUCGAACUCCGGGGGGAGUAUGGUCGCAAGGCUGAAACUUAAAGGAAUUGACGGAAGGGCACCACCAGGUGUGGAAUCUGCGGCUUAAUUUGACUCAACACGGGGAAACUUACCCAGUCCGGACGCGAUGAGGAUUGACAGAUUGAUAGUUCUUUCUUGAUUUUGUGGAAGCCGGUGCAUGGCCGUUUUUAGUUGGUGGAGCGAUUUGUCUGGUUAAGUCCGAUAACGAACGAGACCUAAAUUUAUUAAAUAGUGGUGCGGACAAGGGGGCUUUCGCUUUGUAGGCAGGGAUUUCGA